AUGAUCAAGCCGAUUUGUAGCCAUUGGGCUGCUUGGUUGCAGCAAGUCCACAAUGCACCUCCAAGUGGUAUCGUUGAAUUCGAUUAUCGACAAAAUUGCGCAAGAAGGUACAAGGACAUGGAAGCUUCUGGUCGCAAGUCAUUUCAGCUUGAGCAUUGUUGGAAACUUCUUCAAGAUAGCGAGAAGUGGAAGUUGAUUGACAAAGAAUCCCCACCGAAGAGAGGUGCACUCACCAAGAUGGAUGAUGAUUAUGAAGAUGAUGAUUUCCCAAGAAACAAGAACAAGCCCAAUGGAAACAAGAAGGCCAAGGACAAGGUCAAGAAGGAAGAGGCAUCAAGCUUGCGAGACAAGCUAGAUCACAUCGUCAAGUCCAAUGAGGUAUUGGUGAUCAAGAAAUUGGAGGCAAAGGAGUUGGCCAAGAAGAAGGCUCAAGAAAAGCAAGAGAAGUAGCAACUACUCAAGGAGGAGACCAUGCGCAAGGCCGCCAUUGAGGAGAGAAGAGCCAUGGUCGAGGAGAACAAAGCCAUGGCCAAGCUCCUUCACGAGGAGAACAAGAUCAUGAUGAUGAAUCGAAAUGAGAUGGAUGAGCUCACCAAAGAAUGGCAUGACAUAACAAGGUUGGAGAUCUUGGAGAGGAGGAGGCUAGCUGCAUGA
RNAcentral lists this ribosomal RNA (654 nucleotides) under Triticum aestivum (bread wheat). Its description in RNAcentral is "partial small subunit ribosomal RNA". Lineage: Eukaryota; Viridiplantae; Streptophyta; Magnoliopsida; Poales; Poaceae. The record is from RNAcentral.